UGAGAAAAUUAGAGUGUUCAAAGCAGGCAUUUGCUAGAAUAUAUUAGCAUGGAAUAAUCAUGUAUGAUUUUCAUGAUGUAUUUGAUUGGUUUGGUUCAUGAGAAUAAGAUUAAAAGGGACAGUUGGGGGUAUUCAUAUUCAAUAGUCAGAGGUGAAAUUCUCGGAUUUAUGGAAGAUGAACAAAUGCGAAAGCAUUUACCAAGGAUGUUUUCAUUAAUCAAGAACGAAAGUUAGGGGAUCGAGGAGGAUUAGAUACCCUCGUAGUCUUAA
Molecule: ribosomal RNA, 270 nt
Filed under: Blastocystis hominis
Lineage: Eukaryota; Bigyra; Opalinata; Blastocystidae
Description: partial small subunit ribosomal RNA
Rfam family: Eukaryotic small subunit ribosomal RNA
Source: RNAcentral